Molecule: non-coding RNA, 31 nt
Filed under: Mus musculus (house mouse)
Lineage: Eukaryota; Metazoa; Chordata; Mammalia; Rodentia; Muridae
Source: RNAcentral
UAAUACAGGUCGUUGGGAAACACACUCCCUG